This 317-nucleotide ribosomal RNA is filed under the name Tectonatica sagraiana. RNAcentral describes it as "SSU rRNA". It matches the Rfam family "Eukaryotic small subunit ribosomal RNA", at positions 53 to 347 of the family's 1831-position model. Lineage: Eukaryota; Metazoa; Mollusca; Gastropoda; Littorinimorpha; Naticidae. The record is from RNAcentral.
GCAUGUCUAAGUUCACACCCUUGUACGGUGAAACCGCGAAUGGCUCAUUAAAUCAGUCGAGGUUCCUUAGAUGAUCCAAAUCUACUUGGAUAACUGUGGUAAUUCUAGAGCUAAUACAUGCCAACCAGCUUCGACCCGACUCGCAAGGGCCGGGAAAGAGCGCUUUUAUUAGUUCAAAACCAGUCGGGUUCUUUCAUUAGGGCCCGUCCGUUGGUGACUCUGGAUAACUUUGUGCCGAUCGCAUGGCCUCGAGCCGGCGACGCAUCUUUCAAAUGUCUGCCCUAUCAAAUGACGAUGGUACGUGAUCUGCCUACCAU